Molecule: unclassified non-coding RNA, 64 nt
Filed under: Marvinbryantia formatexigens
Lineage: Bacteria; Bacillati; Bacillota; Clostridia; Lachnospirales; Lachnospiraceae
Source: RNAcentral
CUAGUAACAACGAACUGUGAGAAGUCAGCAGAGUCCAUAGUAGUGAGGAAGUCUCAGUAAUGGA